Molecule: long non-coding RNA, 1472 nt
Filed under: Homo sapiens (human)
Lineage: Eukaryota; Metazoa; Chordata; Mammalia; Primates; Hominidae
Description: long intergenic non-protein coding RNA 3125
Source: RNAcentral
GGAGGCCCUCCCCAUGGCUGGGGACAGUCACAGCAGCUGCAGACAGAUGAUGGGAGGGAGCAUUCUUUCCCUAACCCUAGAGGCGGGCGAGCAUUCACCAAGUGUUGUUGUUAAAGAAAAAAAGAAAGAAAAAGAAACCAGGAUUGUACCUGAGGUCAGGCAGACAGUGCUCAACUCAGCACUGGGAAGAUUGCUAGAAGCCUUGGGCCUAUCUAGGAAGACUGGGCCAACAUGCGAUCCCCUCUGCAAGGUGGAGGCCAUGCACCUGCCUCCUGCUCCUGAGCUCCGGUAUCCUCACUGUGACCCAGGCCCCACUGCAGCAAAGAGACACUGGGAAUUAGCCCUUCUGUCCCCUCCUUGCCAGAAGCAGGAGGCCACUGGAGGCUCCAAGGGCUCUGAAAUGUUGAGAACUUCCCUGCAGGUACCAGCGAAGAGGGCAAGAACACAGCACUACUUCCUUGGAUACUGUUUCCCUCCUCAGAGGGGUUUUCUGAGCUGCCCUGGGUCCUGUGAGGAAGAUCUCCCCUUCCUGUAAAGACACCAGUCCUACUGGAUCAGGGCCCACCCGUGUGACUUCACUUUUACUUGAGUACCUCUCACAGACCCUAACUCCAAAUCAGGUCACUUGCUGAGGUACUGCAUGUGAAGACUUUGACAUUUGAAUUUUGAGGGGGCCACCGUUUAACCUGAACCACCAAGGACAGAGCCAAAGACCCUGGGUGACAGGCCCAGAACAGGACCUGGUGGAGGCUCUUCUUUAGGGGAGAGAGGGAAAUGGGAGCCACCACUGGCAGAGCCUGAAGGCAGGGCAGCCAGAAAGAAGCUGUGGGAGUCCCCACCAUGGAAGACCCUGCCGAGCAUCCUGUGUCUCCUGAAGCAGACCCUGACAUGAGGACUGGGGGCACGUGUUUAUUAAGGGCGAUCCCCGGAAGGAGGAGAUAACCAGGCAGAAGUCCUAGCAGAGUAUGCCCACGCUGGUUAGUGCUGCUGCAAAGAUGAGCCGAAGACCAUGAGAGACCUCCAGGUGGUCCUUCUGGGGAGAAGAAAUGGGUUUUGGCCCCAAAUCCUUCUGCUGCAUUUUUCCCCUAUCCCUGGGAAGCCAUGAGACCUCAAACCUGUGUUCCCAAGGAGGCGAGCUGCUGUUCCCAGGUGAUGAUAUGAUGUGCUUGGGGAAAGUAAGUGGCUGCCAGACAUGGCUGAGAGCUGUUGUCACUGCCGUCAAGUGCAUGUCUCCAAGCCAUAUCACACGGCGUCCCUCGAUGUGAGGCCACAUGGCAAGUGGGCCGUGGAUCUCCCUCUGCCCUUUGCAAGCACGUAAGACAGCAGAUUUUGCAGAUACCUUGUGGCGCAGGGGAAUUUCCUUUGGCCAGGUCUGAAGAAAUAAAGCAGCAGGCACCGAGAACAAAGCCAAGGCUUUCAAAAGACAAGGAGCCAAAAAACUUACUCAAAAUAAAAGUAGUUUUAAAAUGUCU